RNAcentral lists this ribosomal RNA (253 nucleotides) under uncultured bacterium. Its description in RNAcentral is "partial 16S ribosomal RNA". It matches the Rfam family "Bacterial small subunit ribosomal RNA", at positions 524 to 776 of the family's 1533-position model. The record is from RNAcentral.
UACGAAGGGGGCUAGCGUUGUUCGGAAUUACUGGGCGUAAAGCGCGUGUAGGCGGGUCUUUAAGUCAGGGGUGAAAUCCUGGAGCUCAACUCCAGAACUGCCUUUGAUACUGAGAAGCUUGAGUCCGGGAGAGGUGAGUGGAACUGCGAGUGUAGAGGUGAAAUUCGUAGAUAUUCGCAAGAACACCAGUGGCGAAGGCGGCUCACUGGCCCGGUACUGACGCUGAGGCACGAAAGCGUGGGGAGCAAACAGG